AUACGUAGGGGGCGAGCGUUGUCCGGAAUGAUUGGGCGUAAAGGGCGCGUAGGCGGCCCGGUAAGUCUGGAGUGAAAGUCCUGCCUUUAAGGUGGGAAUUGCUUUGGAUACUGUCGGGCUUGAGUGCAGGAGAGGUAAGUGGAAUUCCCAGUGUAGCGGUGAAAUGCGUAGAGAUUGGGAGGAACACCAGUGGCGAAGGCGACUUACUGGACUGUAACUGACGCUGAGGCGCGAAAGUGUGGGGAGCAAACAGGAUUAGAUACCCUGGUAGUCCACACUGUAAACGAUGAAUGCUAGGUGUAGGGGGUAUCGACCCCUUCUGUGCCGCAGUUAACACAAUAAGCAUUCCGCCUGGGGAGUACGGCCGCAAGGUUGAAACUCAAAUGAAUUGACGGGG
This 397-nucleotide ribosomal RNA is filed under the name uncultured bacterium. RNAcentral's name for it is "partial 16S ribosomal RNA". It matches the Rfam family "Bacterial small subunit ribosomal RNA", at positions 523 to 918 of the family's 1533-position model. The record is from RNAcentral.